AGUGAACGCUGGCGGUAGGCCUAACACAUGCAAGUCGAACGGCAGCACAGUAAGAGCUUGCUCUUACGGGUGGCGAGUGGCGGACGGGUGAGGAAUACAUCGGAAUCUACUCUUUCGUGGGGGAUAACGUAGGGAAACUUACGCUAAUACCGCAUACGACCUACGGGUGAAAGCAGGGGAUCUUCGGACCUUGCGCGAUUGAAUGAGCCGAUGUCGGAUUAGCUAGUUGGCGGGGUAAAGGCCCACCAAGGCGACGAUCCGUAGCUGGUCUGAGAGGAUGAUCAGCCACACUGGAACUGAGACACGGUCCAGACGCCUACGGGAGGCAGCAGUGGGGAAUAUUGGACAAUGGGCGCAAGCCUGAUCCAGCCAUACCGCGUGGGUGAAGAAGGCCUUCGGGUUGGAAAGCCCUUUUGUUGGGAAAGAAAAGCAGCAGGUUAAUACCCCGCUGUUCUGACGGUACCCAAAGAAUAAGCACCGGCUAACUUCGUG
This 492-nucleotide ribosomal RNA is filed under the name uncultured bacterium. RNAcentral's name for it is "partial 16S ribosomal RNA". It matches the Rfam family "Bacterial small subunit ribosomal RNA", at positions 29 to 507 of the family's 1533-position model. The record is from RNAcentral.